AAAAGUUAUAGAUAGUCUCCAACAGAGAGGUGUAGUGCAACUUGGGGCUUGUGCUGCCUUCGGCUUUAACAGUACGAGCUGGGUUGGCGAAUGUCUGCUUCAGUGGAGAUAAGCUCAAGGUGGCACAUGGAGAGUUAGAGACGUAGAGUACACAGUUCGAAGUUGAGGUCUUAGUUGAUGAGACACGUACAUGACCUGUCUUACAUCAUCACGAUAGACCAAUAUGAUAUAAAGGGGAUCGAUGGAAAUUUUUUCUCAUUUACACUUGCAAACCUAAGCCAAUUCAAUGUCUUUUAUUAUCGAUCAUAGGCUGCAGUCACACCAGAUCACUCUUCAUGAAGGCAAGGAAAACGUGAAUCACAGCUCUAGCCAUUCUGUUAUAACCCUCUCUAGAAAAUCAUAGCAUUUUUGUUAUAGCUUCUAGAAUUUUGUAAAAGAUUCUUCUCCCAGUUUUCAGGAAUUAAGUUAAGAUUCUUUGAGUAUAAAUACGAUCAGUUGUAACAGAUUUGAGCAAUGAAAUGAAAAUAUCUCUUUGAGCUUUCUCUC
Long non-coding RNA from Rosa rugosa (rugosa rose), 546 nucleotides. RefSeq lists it as uncharacterized. The transcript has 2 exons. The record is from RefSeq and is a predicted model, not a curated record. Lineage: Eukaryota; Viridiplantae; Streptophyta; Magnoliopsida; Rosales; Rosaceae.